RNAcentral lists this ribosomal RNA (253 nucleotides) under uncultured bacterium. RNAcentral's name for it is "partial 16S ribosomal RNA". It matches the Rfam family "Bacterial small subunit ribosomal RNA", at positions 524 to 776 of the family's 1533-position model. The record is from RNAcentral.
UACGGGGGGGGCAAGCGUUGUUCGGAAUUACUGGGCGUAAAGGGCUCGUAGGCGGCCAACUAAGUCAGACGUGAAAUCCCUCGGCUUAACCGGGGAACUGCGUCUGAUACUGGAUGGCUUGAGAUUGGGAGAGGGAUGCGGAAUUCCAGGUGUAGCGGUGAAAUGCGUAGAUAUCUGGAGGAACACCGGUGGCGAAGGCGACAUCCUGGACCAACAUUGACGCUGAGGAGCGAAAGCCAGGGGAGCAAACGGG